CACUCCUCCCAAGUGUUCAAUGUUAACCAGAUGGCAAAGUUAACCAGACAGAGGAAAUCCACAUAAUUACUCUAGAUGAAGCCCCCUAACUGCGGAUUAGAAGGAAAAGAGAUGAAGGGUGCUGCACUAAUAAUAACAACCAUUUUCAACCAAGGCAGGAUUCUGGGCCUAGAAUCUUCAGUGACAAAUUACCAGGAGAGGAGGAGGGAAAUGAAGAGCUGGAGGCCUAGGGAGAUGGUGUGAGGAGAGGAGACUGUGCCUUUCCACUUCUUAAUAAUUAAUGUUCUCCUGCUGCUCUGAGUCUGCAUGUAAGUGGAUUUGUGACCUCUCAGCUGAUGAAAACCAUAGCACAAGAAGAGUAAAAGUGUGCUGCCUUGUUUCUUACUUGCUAAUUAGCCACCUGAGCCCAGGGGGGUUUAUAAGUGGCCUCAAGCCCAAUUACUGAUUUUGUUCCCAGAGGCAGAGAAGGCUUGAGUCAAAUCACCCUGAUUCUCAGGGGAAAGGCAGCACCGAGCAUCCAGGGUACCCUCUAAUGGCCCAGGCCUACUCUUGUCCAGCAAUGUACCACCAAGAUGUUGAACUUUAAAGGACUAUGUCUGACCAGGAAGGACCUGCUGUCUAGAGCUGCCAUUCUGAUUCUUGGAGCUCGUAUACAGAUACAUCCGCAACCAUGGGGCAGGAAACAGAUGUACCAGUGCAGUCAAGACCAAUACCUGCUCAUACCUGUGGCCAAAAGCAUGAUGCCCCAGGCUCUGCCUCCAAUUCUACCAUCUUCUUCCAUCUUUCUCUUUUAUCAGCACCAGUGAUUCAGUUUGAGUCAGACAUCCAACAACAACUGAGCAAAAGAAUCAUCUCAGAUCCAAGCAAUGGUGACGCGCAGAUAGAAGAGACUGAGG
This 896-nucleotide long non-coding RNA is filed under the name Homo sapiens (human). Its description in RNAcentral is "CFLAR antisense RNA 1". Lineage: Eukaryota; Metazoa; Chordata; Mammalia; Primates; Hominidae. The record is from RNAcentral.